Molecule: RNA transcript, 2794 nt
Organism: Gadus morhua (Atlantic cod)
Lineage: Eukaryota; Metazoa; Chordata; Actinopteri; Gadiformes; Gadidae
Gene name: putative cytochrome P450 120
Exons: 12
Source: RefSeq, a predicted model, not a curated record
CAUGGAUUCUCUCUAGCUGGUUGUACUAUCGCGAGAGGAAGAGCGCAAUUGACCGAUCGUUCGGCGACACCGGACCGCCGGCGUGAAUUAAAAUGCGAUCCAUUUGGUGAGAAGAUGACUUCGGCUUCCCAGGGGGCGGAGUACCAGUGGAAUACUUGAGCUCUGGGAUCUUGUGGUUCCUCCUUGAGUUCAGAGUUCCUCCUUGAGUUCCGAGUCAACACAUACCGAGGUAGAUUUCUCGAGUACUGCCGGUGAACUCGGACCGAGACUACAGGUUAUAAAUAAUGUCCGAGUUACCUGGUAACGCGGGGUACCCGGUGCUGGGGGACAGGUCGCUGGAGUUCUAUAAAGACCCGGUGGGCUUCUGCGACCACCGGCUGGAGAAACACAACAGCAGAGUGUUUCGGUCCCGACUCCUCAACAAGCCCACCGUGUUGGUGUGUUCCGUGAGGGGGAUGAGAGAGGUGCUGCACGAGAAGUCCAGCGUGUUUCUCAAAGACCCAACGGAUCUGAUGACCAACAUGUAUGGUGACACCCUCGUCACCACAAACGGUGAAGAGGCGUGUUUGCUGCGUCUGUCUCUGAGCAGUUUGUUUACGGGGGCGUGUCUAGAAUCAUGGAACAAUGACCUCAUCAGUGUGUGUGAGCGCCACCUCCAGGCUCUUUCUUCCAGUGAGCCCCAGUGUGUGUACUCUCUGUUUAAGGCUCUGGGGACAGAACUGGUCCUGGGUCUAUUCCUCAACGUGCGGCCAGACGAGCACCCUCAGCUCUACCAGGAGAUCACUGAGCUGUGCACGCAGCACUGGCACGGUCUGAUCUCGGCCCCGGUCAGCCUGAAGGUGCCCCUGUGGUCCUCAGGGUUCUCCACCGCGCUGGAGGCCCGAGACAGGCUGAUGGAAAUCAUCAAGGACAAGCUGGAGAACGACAAGCAUGGGUUGGUGGGCUCCCUGGGGUCGCUGCCCCUCCCCCAUCCGAUCUGUGCCUCCCAGCACCUCCUGCUCUUCAUCUCCGCUCUCAUCCCCAAAGCUCUGGCCUCCCUCCUCACCUCCUUUACCCUGGCCCUCAGUGGACCUCAGCAGGAGAAGAUGCGGCAGAGGGCGAAGGCUGAGCCCGAGUUCUUGCGCUGCUUGCUAUUGGAGGUUCAGAGACUCUGGCCUCCUUUCAUUGGUGGACGCAGGAUAGCCAAUAAGGACACAACCAUAGAAGGCUUCUCCGUGCCCCGGGGUCAGGUGGUGAUGUACGUCAGCCACGCAGUCCACCGCGACCCGGAAGUGUUCCAGCAGCCCGACCACUUCCUGCCCGAUAGGUGGACAGGAAGACCUGCAGGAGGCUCCAACACAGCUAGCCGGUGCCACAGAGAAGAGGCCACCAGGUUGUUAAUAAUGAUUGAUCUGCCUCUGUAUGAAAUCCUGGGCAAGAGCCAGCGCCACCUCCCCAGCCUGCCCUCCAUCUUCUCCACCACUCCCUCCCAGUUCCUUUUCUCUGCAGAGUCAUCACCCAGUUGCACUCCCAGAUACUUGAUGCCAUGUCUUUCCCAGAAAAUCCCAUCAGGAAUGCGGGUCAGGAGCAUCUUCUUUGUUGCCUAGGUAACGGACCGAGGAACUGCAUCGGGGACACACUGACUGAUAGCUUCGUCAAGACCGCGUGCAGCUACCUGCUGACUCACUACGACUGGGCCCUGGACCCCCCCGACCAGAACACCUCCUAUAAAUGGCUGCCGGCAUCCCGCCCGGCCGAACCGCUCCACCUCUCCUUCACCAGACUGGACCAGACCGGUUCCUGCCCCACACACCCUCAGUGAGGCUCAGAUCCAGGGCAGCUGCUGGCCGUUUCGGUGCCCUACGCGAGCGGGGGGGGGGAGCCCCUUUUUAUAUAUUAGGUAAGAACACCUAAUUUGCUGAAAUUGAGUGAUAGGUUAUACAAUUAAGAACAAACAACGGUGGGCCACUUCAUAACUAAUUUACAUCUUUUUUUAAUUCAAUAAUGUAUUUUUUUUUGUUUUUGUUUUUACAAACCUUAAUUUUUGGUGCCCCCUCAGGUACCUGGUGCCCUACGCACUCUGGGUACUCUGCGUAUAGGGAGCAGCGGGCCUGCUCAGAUCACUGAAGGCUAGUGCUAAUGAUAAUGAAGGAAGGGGUUGAACUCAACGAGUUUGGCACAUUAGUGACUCACUGUUUUUAAUUAAAAAACAAGGCAUUUUUUAUUUAUUUUUUUAGAUUUGCUUUUUGCACACACACACACAAAGAAAAAAAAAGGGCACUGACGACUGGUAUGUUAUCGGUUAUCACAUGGAGACAAUGACAAGAAGGCUUUGGGUGGACUGGAGGAUUGUGGCUGGAGAACGAUGGAGAGGUUCAGCAACCAGCUGCCUAUUCAGUGAACAAAGCUAUCAACCCCUGAAUUCAUUUACAUUUGAAACAAUUUGGUUAUUGGAAAAUCUGUUGCUAAUCAUGAUGUUUUAUACUGUUUAUAGUAAUCAUAGCCCCAGUAAAAACAUUUGAUGGUGUAAACCCUAGCCCUUACUCAAAGUAACUGGGAAUGAUAACUGAGGAAGUGGAAAGCUGAAGUCUGCAUAAUGUAACAACAGCACUAACGUCUAUAAUCCAGAAAAGAACAUACUUGAAAUUCAUUGACAUGAUUCAAUCAAAAUGUUUCCCGUUACCUUCAAACCUCUUCUGAUCCAGCAGUGGGCUUGGCCACUCUCCGAAAUAAAUCAUUACUAAAAUGUUGGGCACAGCCAUUAGUUGUUGUUGGAAGCAUUAGACAUUAAAGUGUAAUUCCGGCGAAAAUUGAA